CAAGGCUGUCGAGUCUGCCGAUGAGGAUGUGGUGAUUGACAGAGUCGAAAGCCUUGGCCAGGUCGAUGGAGACGGCUGCACAGUAAUGUCUCUUAUCGAUGGAGGUUAUGAUGUCAUUUAGGACCUUGAGCGUGGCUGAAGUGCACCCAUUACCAGCUCUGAAACCAGAUUGCAUAGCGGAGAAGGUACGGUGGGAUUCAAAUUGGUCAGUGAUCUGUUUGUUCACUUGGCUUUCGAAGACUUUAGAAAGGCAGGGCAGGAUGGAUAUAGGUCUGUAACAGUUUGGGUCUAGAGGCAGGGCAGGAUGGAUAUAGGUCUGUAGCAGUUUGGGUCUAGAGGCAGGGCAGGAUGGAUAUAGGUCUGUAACAGUUUGGGUCUAGAGGCAGGGCAGGAUGGAUAUAGGUCUGUAGCAGUUUGGGUCUAGAGGCAGGGCAGGAUGGAUAUAGGUCUGUAGCAGUUUGGGUCCAGAGGCAGGGCAGGAUGGAUAUAGGUCUGUAACAGUUUGGGUCUAGAGGCAGGGCAGGAUGGAUAUAGGUCUGUAACAGUUUGGGUCUAGAGGCAGGGCAGGGCAGGAUGGAUAUAGGUCUGUAACAGUUUGGGUCUAGAGGCAGGGCAGGAUAGAUAUAGGUCUGUAACAGUUUGGGUCUAGAGUGUCCCCCCCUUUGAAGAGGGGGAUGACCACGGCAGCUUUCCAAUCUUUUGGGGAUUUCAGACGAUACGAAGGAGAGGUUGAACAGGCUAGUAAUAAGCGUUGCAACAAUUUCGGCAGAUAAUUUUAGAAAGAAAGGGUCCAGAUUGUCUAGCCCGGCUGAUUUGUAGGGGUCCAGAUUUUGCAGCUCUUUCAGAACAUCAGCUGUCUGGAUAUGGGUGAAGGAUAAGCAGGGGGGGCUUGGGCAAGUUGCUAUGGGGUGCAGGGCAGUUGAUCGGGGUAGCCAGGUGGAAAGCAUGGCCAGCAGUGGAAAAAUGCUUCUUGAAAUUCUCAAUUAUUGUGGCUUUAUCAGUAGUGACAGUGUUUCCUAGCCUCAGUGCAGUGGGCAGCUGGGAGGAGGUGCUCUUAUUCUCCAUGGACUUUCCAGACCUUACAGACCAAGAACCUUAGCCAUUCGGAAUGAAUGCUUAAACUUACAUUUUAGUUUCAUUUUCGCAGAGUUUGACUGACUGCUAAGAUUUGGCACCACAUGGCAUAAUUAAAAUGUCAAGUCAUGGCAUAAUUGUGUUACCGUAGUUUAAGUAUUCGGUUGUGCUGAUACACAAUAUCAUUAAGGAGCCUUAACCAUUGGCAUUUUAUUGCUUUGAAAUGUAUAGGAAUGAAGGAUGUAGGUUGUUGUCAGUCUGGUGUAGAAGGAUUGGUGUACUCCGUUAUAUCACCAGCUGGGUGUUCUGUGUGCAAGGACUUUCGAAUGUUCGUUUUAUUUCUACAUGUUGUUUCAUAAAGAAAGGAAGCAUAUCUUCUCCACAUUAAAUCGAGUUAAGGAGUCAUUUAGUAAUUUUAGCCUUUAUUUAACUUGGUAAGUCAGUUAUUACUGCAUUGUCGGAACUAGAAGCACAAGCAUUUCGCUACACUCGCAUUAACAUCUGCUAACCAUGUGUAUGUGACAAAUAAAAUUUUAUUUGAUUUGAAGAACAAAAUCGUAUUUACAAUGACGGCCUACCAAAAGGCAAAAGGCCUCCUGCAG
Long non-coding RNA from Oncorhynchus tshawytscha (Chinook salmon), 1676 nucleotides. Lineage: Eukaryota; Metazoa; Chordata; Actinopteri; Salmoniformes; Salmonidae. The record is from Ensembl.